CACGUAGGCACCAAGCGUUGUCCGGAUUUAUUGGGCGUAAAGAGCUCGUAGGCGGUUCAGUAAGUCGGGUGUGAAAACUUUGGGCUUAACCCAAAGCGUGCAUCCGAUACUGCUGUGACUUGAGUUCGGUAGGGGAGUGGGGAAUUCCUAGUGUAGCGGCGAAAUGCGCAGAUAUUAGGAGGAACACCGGUGGCGAAGGCGCCACUCUGGGCCGAAACUGACGCUGAGGAGCGAAAGCAUGGGUAGCAAACAGG
Molecule: ribosomal RNA, 254 nt
Filed under: uncultured bacterium
Lineage: Bacteria
Description: partial 16S ribosomal RNA
Rfam family: Bacterial small subunit ribosomal RNA
Source: RNAcentral